GAUCAAUUAGCCUUUUAAAAUGAUAAACUUGGAUUAACUAACACAACAUGCCAUUGGAACACAGGAGUGAUGGUUGCUGAUAAUGGGCCUCUGUACGCCUAUGUAGAUAUUCCAUAAAAAAUCCAGCUACAAUAGUCAUUUACAACAUUAACAAUGUCUACACUGUAUUUCUGAUCAAUUUGAUGUUAUUUUAAUGGACAAAAAAUGUGCUUUUCUUUCAAAAACACAGACAUUACUAAGUGACCCCUAAAUGAGGCUGGAUGAACUGUUUCGCUGCCAGACAAGGCUCUGCUGAUAGCCAGGUGUAGCAGUGGUAAGGUGUUGGGACUGCUGUUGGUACAGCUUUAUGUAGGCCCUAACAGUUUGUGGGCACUGUUUGUCACCAUUAUAGUCCAAUUAAUGUAUUGUUUAGUGUUGUGUUGUUUAGUGGCUUUGCUGGCAUGCAUCUAAAAAAUUGUUUGGUUUGUUUAUCCCACCAAGAUGUAUAUGUUAAAAUCGCCACUGAUAACACAGAUAACAUACACAGUAGUACUAUUGGGUAUAGAAGCCAAUAUCCACAAGCUGCCAAUCCACAAGGCCCCAGUUCAGCUAUAAUAGACCAACGCAAAUGCAAUGAACAGUAAACAAAUGCAUACACACAUGCACGGAUGCAGUGUUUACCUUUGGUUGACAUGGCUUAAAUGCCAGAGUUACGAUGAUUGGCUGAUUGACUGUGAAGUCUGUAAUUUGUAUGUGGGCCUCUGGGAGACGUCACUCACCUCUAGUAGAUGUCCUCACAGCUCCCAUCCUGCCCUGAAAAGUGUUAUGUCCACUGACAAGGAGUAGUGACGCUGCUCAGUGACCCAAGCCUACCAGACAAGCUCACGUUGAGGCAAGCAACACUGAACCAUGCAUGAGAGUACCAGCUAUUCCGGACGACUGUGUAAUCUCGCUCUCCGUAGCCGAUCUCAGCAUUCAACACCAUAGUCCCCUCCAAGCUCAUCACCAAGCUCAGGACCCUGGGACUGAACACCUUCCUCUGCAACUGGAUCCUGGACUUCCUGACGGGCCAGCCCCAGGCGGUGAGGGUAGGCAACAACACAUCCGCCACGCUGACCAUCAAAUCAAAUUUGCACCGAAUACAACUCUUAUAGACUUUACAGUGAAAUGCUUGCUUACAAACAUUUCCCAAUGAUGCAGAGUAAACUAAAUAAAUAAUAUUAACCAACACAAGACAAAUAAAAUAAAAUACACAAGAAUGGAGCUAUAUACAGGGAGUACCAGUACCAGAUCAAUGUGGAGCUAUAUACAGGGAGUACCAGUACCAGAUCAAUGUGGAGCUAUAUACAGAGAGUACCAGUACCAGAUCAAUGUGGAGCUAUAUACAGGGAGUACCAGUACCAGAUCAAUGUGGAGCUAUAUACAGGGAGUACCAGUACCAGAUCAAUGUGGAGCUAUAUACAGAGAGUACCAGUACCAGAUCAAUGUGGAGCUAUAUACAGAGAGUACCAGUACCAGAUCAAUGUGGAGCUAUAUACAGGGAGUACCAGUAGCAGAUCAAUGUGGAGCUAUAUACAGGGAGUACCAGUUCCAGAUCAAUGUGGAGCUAUAUACAGGGAGUACCAGUACCAGAUCAAUGUGGAGCUAUAUACAGGGAGUACCAGUAGCAGAUCAAUGUGGAGCUAUAUACAGGGAGUACCAGUACCAGAUCAAUGUGGAGCUAUAUACA
RNAcentral lists this long non-coding RNA (1708 nucleotides) under Salmo salar (Atlantic salmon). Its description in RNAcentral is "lncRNA (ENSSSAG00000114557.1)". The record is from RNAcentral. Lineage: Eukaryota; Metazoa; Chordata; Actinopteri; Salmoniformes; Salmonidae.